Long non-coding RNA from Oryza sativa Japonica Group (Japanese rice), 971 nucleotides. RefSeq lists it as uncharacterized. NCBI's taxonomy places the organism in Eukaryota, Viridiplantae, Streptophyta, Magnoliopsida, Poales, Poaceae. The record is from RefSeq and is a predicted model, not a curated record.
CGGCCCAGGUACCGCGCGACUCGUUUUUUUUUUCCCCUCUCUUCUCACCGCUUCACCUGUGCCAAAACCCUUGAGCUCUCCACCCUCCUCUGUACGCAUCUUCCGGCGGCGCACCAGGCGGCGUCGAGGGCGGAGUGGGAGACAGCGCCAGGGACGUGGUUCGGGCGGCGAGGGCGGUGCAGCUCCUGGCGGCGCAGUCGGCAAGGACCUAGGGGGGGGGGGGGGGCAGCGAGCAGACCAACACCCAUUUUUGUCCUUCCAUUCCUCUCCAAAUCAAGUUUCUGCAGCAACCGGUGCAAACUAAAGAUGGCGGGAUUCGGCAGCCUGGCACCCAAGACCAAGAACAUAGUGGUGGCUGGAGGACUCUCUGCUUUCGUCCUUGGCGUGUAUUACUACACCAUGAGAGCGGUGGGAGGCACAGAUGAGCUGCAGGUCGCCAUUGAUAAGUUUGAAGGCAUGAAGAAAAAGGAUGCUGGGAACUCAUCCGCCGCGGGAUCCUAAGAACAGGGUUUAGAAUUGGCUCCAUAUCCGCCUCUAUACUGAACUGUGGUUUUGUACAAUAAUGGCUCAAUACUAGGUUGUGCUUAUGCUUUGACGUUAAGCUGGAAUAAUUUUUGACUGAAUCGACUAUAUUAAAACCUCCCCGGAGUUGCUGGGCUGAGAGCGUUUUGGACUGGUGCUCGCACGCGGCGCUAUCCAUUUUUAUUCACAUGACAUUAAGAAAGAGCUUUCUGUGAUUGAACUUUAACUAGGUUUUUUUUGCCUUUUGUAUUUAGUAUUGUUUCAAUGGUAGUUAUCCUCUGGAAAUAGCUGUUUCAAGUAUAUUUAGCUAUGCCUUUUUCUUCACGGUGUUGAUUUGGUGAGUAGAGAAUCUGCUAUGUUUGCUACUAAUAUUAUAGUUCUGCCCUUCAAUGAAAUGUAAACAAUGUGAAUUGAGGUUAAUGUACGAUAGUUGGCAUGUGACUAGGUGA